AUGCGUGAUCAGGUCGGCAUCGACCUGGACGGCUUCCCCCUCGACCACGAGUUUCCGGACGACUACGGGCUAGAGGAAGAGGACGAGUGCGACAUCGACGUGGAGCCUUUGUUCGAGGACGAGCUCGCCAACCAAGCCGCCGGUCCUAAGCCGAAGCGCAAGAGCAAGCGUACGAAGGCGUACACGGCGGCCGAGGACAAGCUUCUUUGCGAGUGUUGGCGAGACAUUGGACAAGACCCCAAGAUGGGCGCCGAGCAAAAGCAUUCAACCUUUUGGAUUCGUGUCCACCGAGAUUUUCAUGAGCGCAAGAAGUUUCCGCCUUACCAAUUUGUGAGCACGCGCGGGUGGGUCUCCAUUUUCAAGCGG
Molecule: ribosomal RNA, 366 nt
Filed under: Triticum aestivum (bread wheat)
Lineage: Eukaryota; Viridiplantae; Streptophyta; Magnoliopsida; Poales; Poaceae
Description: partial small subunit ribosomal RNA
Source: RNAcentral